GCCCGGACGGACUGCACCAACAGAGCGCUCAGCUCAGCAGUGGGUUUUUCUGAAAAGCAAUGCAGGUGCAGGUGAUGGAGAACCCAACAGAAGUCGUUUACAUUAAGGACGUCCCCAUGUUCUGCUUGAAAGGUGCUAUUGCUGUGUUUCUUCUGAUGUAAUUUUGUGCUGCAUUUGCAUUCAACGGCAGAGGCAGACAUAACAGCGCUUUACGGGAUCUGCCAAAGCUUGUUCUGCUGCCCAUGAACACUCAGCACAUGAGCAUACACCGUCUUGGCAUCAGCGGGCUCUUUGUGGGCCAGGACAUCCUGCCUGAGUGCUGCAGAGCGCCAGCAUGUCACCACCUUGGAGGCCCAAGAGUGCCCCCACUCGGCUGCCCCCGGCACGGCCCCCGAUCCGGUCCCCCAGCUGUAGUGCCAGGAGCAGAGCAGCCUGCUGCCUUACCUGCCAUGGUAGCUCGAGAGUGGCAGCGGGGGCUUCCGUGACUGCUGGGGUCAGCCCCUCUGCCCUGAGGUUACAGUGCCCCUCUGUGACACGGUCCCGUGGUGGCACAGGCAUUGCUCUGUGCCCGCCCCGUCACCAGCUCUUGCUGUGUCUACAUUCGUGGUGGUGACAGCAUGGGACGAGUGUGGGGAGCUAUGGCCCAUCUCAUACUCCUCCUGAUGGCUGCAACUUGCUCUAAGGUCGGUGCUGUUCUGUUGGCAGCAUCGGAAAAGUGAGCGGCAUGGGGGGCAAGAAGUCAGGUUGUGUCCCCACGGCCAGUUUGCUGACUGCCCUGGGGCUGUCCUUGCAUGGGGGACGUGCUGGGCAGGGGAAGUCGGCCAGCACCCAGUUCCAUCACAGGGUCCCCUCAGCUCCCAGCCCAAGGGAAGAGCCAGGCACGUUUUCCUCCCGUGCUGUGGUUUCACUCUCACGCUCAGCACAUGAGCGCAGAUGGUCUCGGCUCCAGCAGCCUCCCCAUGUGUCAAUCCGGCCUGCCAGGGUGCAGCUGAGCCACAGCACAUCACCGCCCA
This is a long non-coding RNA of Lagopus leucura (white-tailed ptarmigan), 1013 nucleotides long. RefSeq lists it as uncharacterized. The record is from RefSeq and is a predicted model, not a curated record. NCBI's taxonomy places the organism in Eukaryota, Metazoa, Chordata, Aves, Galliformes, Phasianidae. The transcript has 3 exons.